RNAcentral lists this ribosomal RNA (25 nucleotides) under Goodenia hederacea. Its description in RNAcentral is "partial 25S large subunit ribosomal RNA". The record is from RNAcentral. Lineage: Eukaryota; Viridiplantae; Streptophyta; Magnoliopsida; Asterales; Goodeniaceae.
GCGACCCCAGGUCANGCGGGACUAC